AUUGAACGCUGGCGGCAGGCUUAACACAUGCAAGUCGAGCGGGGUGAUGGUGCUUGCACUAUCACUUAGCGGCGGACGGGUGAGUAAUGCUUAGGAAUCUGCCUAUUAGUGGGGGACAACAUCUCGAAAGGGAUGCUAAUACCGCAUACGUCCUGCGGGAGAAAGCAGGGGAUCACUUGUGACCUUGCGCUAAUAGAUGAGCCUAAGUCGGAUUAGCUAGUUGGGGGGGUAAAGGCCUACCAACGGGACGAUCUGUAGCGGGUCUGAGGGGAUGGUCCGCCACACAGGGACUGAAGACCGGCCCAGACUCCUUCGGGAGGCAGCAGUUGGGAAUAUUGGACAAUGGGGGGAACCCUGAUCCAGCCAUGCCGCGUGUGUGAAGAAGGCCUUAUGGAUGUAAAGCGCUUUUAGCGAGGAGGGGGCACUUGUGGUUAAUACCCAAGAUGAGUGGACGUUCCUCGCAGAAUAAGCACCGGCUAACUCUGUGCCAGCCGCCGCCGUAA
Molecule: ribosomal RNA, 503 nt
Filed under: uncultured bacterium
Lineage: Bacteria
Description: partial 16S ribosomal RNA
Rfam family: Bacterial small subunit ribosomal RNA
Source: RNAcentral